RNAcentral lists this ribosomal RNA (885 nucleotides) under uncultured bacterium. RNAcentral describes it as "bacterial SSU rRNA". It matches the Rfam family "Bacterial small subunit ribosomal RNA", at positions 28 to 896 of the family's 1533-position model. The record is from RNAcentral.
GACGAACGCUGGCGGCGUGCCUAACACAUGCAAGUCGAACGGAGUUAUUAAUGAAGCUUGCGAUUUAAUAACUUAGUGGCGGACGGGUGAGUAACGCGUGGGUAAUCUGCCCAUAAGUGGGGAACAACAGUUGGAAACGACUGCUAAUACCGCAUAAUCUGCGCAAGCAGGAAAGGUGGCCUCUGAAUAUGCUGCCGCUUAUGGAUGAGCCCGCGUCUGAUUAGCUUGUUGGUGAGGUAAUGGCUCACCAAGGCAAAGACGGGUAGCUGGUCUGAGAGGAUGAUCAGCCACACUGGGACUGAGACACGGCCCAGACUCCUACGGGAGGCAGCAGUGGGGAAUAUUGGACAAUGGGCGAAAGCCUGAUCCAGCCACGCCGCGUGUGUGAUGAAGGUCUUCGGAUCGUAAAGCACUGUGGAGAGGGAAGAAUUGGUAGGAGGUUAAUACCCUCUUAUCUUGACGGUACCUCUUUAGCAAGCACCGGCUAACUCCGUGCCAGCAGCCGCGGUAAUACGGAGGGUGCAAACGUUGCUCGGAAUCAUUGGGCGUAAAGCGCGUGUAGGCGGCUAAUUAAGUCGAGUGUGAAAGCCCCGGGCUUAACCUGGGAAGUGCGCUCGAAACUGGAUAGCUAGAGUACGGGAGAGGGUAGUGGAAUUCCCGGUGUAGAGGUGAAAUUCGUAGAUAUCGGGAGGAACACCAGUGGCGAAGGCGGCUACCUGGACCGAUACUGACGCUGAGACGCGAAAGCGUGGGUAGCAAACAGGAUUAGAUACCCUGGUAGUCCACGCUGUAAACGAUGAGUGCUAGGUGUUGCGGGUUUUGACCCCUGCGGCGCCGUAGCUAACGCAUUAAGCACUCCGCCUGGGGAGUACGGCCGCAAGGCUA